RNAcentral lists this small nucleolar RNA (81 nucleotides) under Haplochromis burtoni (Burton's mouthbrooder). Its description in RNAcentral is "Small nucleolar RNA SNORD24 (ENSHBUG00000020706.1)". The record is from RNAcentral. Lineage: Eukaryota; Metazoa; Chordata; Actinopteri; Cichliformes; Cichlidae.
UGCUCCUGUGAUGACCACUUAUUUGCUACUCUUGAGAAGAUGUGAUGAUACUCCAACCACCAAGUUGUAUUAUCUGAGGCA